UCACAUUGAGGAUCUCCUUCUUGGACACUGUUAUUAGAAACUCCUAGGACUGCAUUCGGGCAGCAGGUCAAUAGAAAAUGGCCCUUGAGAUUUGAAGUGAGUCCAUUUGAAGUGAGUAUCUGAGAGGCUUCACAUCACCAGUUUCCAAGGAAGGGAGUUUAUAUAGUUUCUGAAAAAGGAUUGAUUUGUUCUUGGCCUACAAACUGAUGUCUGUCCAUGUCUGAGAAGCUACUACACACUGCUCUAUCUGUAGAAGACUGGGAUAUUAAGAGGAUAUUCUCAAGUAAUUCUUUCUGUUCUCUUUAUCAGUUUUCAGUACCUUGCUCCAACCUUAUUUAUUUAUGGAUAAACUACCCUUCUUCUUC
Molecule: long non-coding RNA, 365 nt
Organism: Alligator sinensis (Chinese alligator)
Lineage: Eukaryota; Metazoa; Chordata; Crocodylia; Alligatoridae
Exons: 3
Source: RefSeq, a predicted model, not a curated record